RNAcentral lists this ribosomal RNA (579 nucleotides) under Aspergillus aculeatus. Its description in RNAcentral is "partial large subunit ribosomal RNA". It matches the Rfam family "Eukaryotic large subunit ribosomal RNA", at positions 36 to 670 of the family's 3401-position model. The record is from RNAcentral. Lineage: Eukaryota; Fungi; Ascomycota; Eurotiomycetes; Eurotiales; Aspergillaceae.
AUUGCAUAUCAAUAAGCGGAGGAAAAGAAACCAACCGGGAUUGCCUCAGUAACGGCGAGUGAAGCGGCAAGAGCUCAAAUUUGAAAGCUGGCCCCUCCGGGGUCCGCGUUGUAAUUUGCAGAGGAUGCUUUGGGUGCGGCCCCCGUCUAAGUGCCCUGGAACGGGCCGUCAGAGAGGGUGAGAAUCCCGUCUUGGGCGGGGUGUCCGUGCCCGUGUAAAGCUCCUUCGACGAGUCGAGUUGUUUUGCAGCUCUAAAUGGGUGGUAAAUUUCAUCUAAAGCUAAAUACUGGCCGGAGACCGAUAGCGCACAAGUAGAGCGAAAGAUGAAAAGCACUUUGAAAAGAGAGUUAAACAGCACGUGAAAUUGUUGAAAGGGAAGCGCUUGGACUCGCCCUCGGGGUUCAGCCGGCACUCGUGCCGGUGUACCGGGGGCGGGCCAGCGUCAGCUUGGGCGGCCGGGGCCUCCGGAAUGUAGUGCCCCCCGGGGCACCUUAUAGCCGGAGGUGGGCCAGCCUGGGCUGAGGAACGCGCUUGCUGGCAUAAUGGUCGCAAACGACCCGUCUUGAAACACGGACCAAU